This 254-nucleotide ribosomal RNA is filed under the name uncultured bacterium. RNAcentral's name for it is "partial 16S ribosomal RNA". It matches the Rfam family "Bacterial small subunit ribosomal RNA", at positions 99 to 354 of the family's 1533-position model. The record is from RNAcentral.
CGAACGGGUGAGUAAUACAUCGGAACGUGUCCGCUCGUGGGGGACAACCAGCCGAAAGGUUGGCUAAUACCGCAUGAGUUCUACGGAAGAAAGAGGGGGACCCGCAAGGGCCUCUCGCGAGCGGAGCGGCCGAUGACUGAUUAGCCUGUUGGUGAGGUAACGGCUCACCAAAGCAACGAUCAGUAGCUGGUCUGAGAGGACAACCAGCCACACUGGGACUGAGACACGGCCCAGACUCCUACGGGAGGCAGCAG